Molecule: long non-coding RNA, 1800 nt
Organism: Anser brachyrhynchus (Pink-footed goose)
Lineage: Eukaryota; Metazoa; Chordata; Aves; Anseriformes; Anatidae
Source: Ensembl
GGACAGCUGGCUUUUCAUUACUUCCACCUGAAUAAAUGAACCAAAAUCAUCAGCGUCCAACAAAAGGUACACUGAAUGGUAGGCAUUUUCUCAGAACCGAUAAAGAUCUCUCCUGUAAAAACAGAACCAAAAGACAAUGAGGUCAUAUUUCUGAUAAAAAUACCAAGUUCUAAAGCAAUACCUAUUCAUUAUAAAUAAAUAAUAACCAUUCUGAAUUUUAAGUUUUCCUUCCUUGUAUUUAUGAGCAUGUCACUUUCUUUUUCUGUUAGGAAACAGCCUGUAACAAGGGCUAUUAUCAGAAAAAGCACUACAGAAAGACAGGGAUGCAGCAGAUACCUUUGAACAACUUUUCCCUGGCACUACUUCACAUAUGGGUUUGUAGUACUUUCUAGAUAACAGAUUUUACCAGAACUCUAAAAUGUUAGCCUUCCUGCAUCGACAGCCACAGGAGCGUACUCACAAAACUAACCUGGGACAUUCUAUGAUUCUAAGUAUUUUGUGCAAUAAGACUAAUUCUUCUCCUGAGGAUCUGACAAGGAAGUGACCUUUCUCCUUCAUAGUCCAAGUGAAAUCAAAUCAUACUACCUCCUUGUUUCAGCAGCUGUUUUACACUGUAGUUAAAUCUAUAUCCCUAAACGCACAGGAACUGUUAACUGUUUUUGUAGAUACAGGGUUGUAAUGCAAAUAACCUCCUUGUCACGGUUUGACUCCAGUAGGCAACCGUGCAACACACAGCCACCUGCUCACUGUGCUGUAGCAGGGUGGUCCAUGGGACUGAGAUGGAGGAAUCCCAAAUUAGGGACAGGCAGCAGGAGAGCGUGAAAGCUAAAGGGAGAGAGCACUAGGACAGAGGUACGCGGGGUGUAACUGAUGGGGAGCAACGGUGUUAUAGGAAGAAGGACUGGACAGGGGGCUACGGAAAAGAAAAACAUUGUCAGGCAACAGGAAAGUGAGACAUACGAGCAAAAACGAAGUGAGUGCCGGGGGCUGAGAGCCAGGGGUGGCAGAGAGGGACAGGCAGCACUGUGCGAGAAGCAAGUACCCAAGGAAGCGGAAAGGACGCCACAAAGGGGAGCACGGGUGGAGAGCCGGCGAAGGGACAGGGAGCCAGGCAGACGGCCGGCCGGCAAAAAGGGAAGGUGGCGGGGGCCAAAGAAGAGGGCGGGCGGAUGCGGCGCUGAGCCAGGAGGGCCCGGGACGCAGAAGAGCGAGACACAGCCCCGACGGCCCUGCGCUCACCGCCGCUCAGACGCCACCUUCCCGCCGCCCCAGGACCGCGCCGCCACCGCGCGCCCCGCACGUCACCAGGCGCGACGGGGCUGCGCCUUGAUGACGUCUGCAGGCGCCGCAGCGCGCGCUGCUGCCUCCGACGGGUCAGGAGCGGGCCGGAGGCAGCCCCCGGAAAGCUCCCGGGGCAGGCCGGGCUUCGCCCCGCCCCGCGCCAGUUUUUCCAUUACGACGGCUGACCACAUAAAGAGGGCUUUAAAGCAGGAAGGAAGGUGGAGGGAGAGGGUAACCAGCAGACCUGUGAAGCAGCGAAGCACGGGGCAGCUGAACAAGGGGCAUGAAGUGAUGUGCUGCAAAGACCUGUAUAAGACCAAGUGUUCUAAGCGGUCACAACUGCUGGAAGAGUACUCCAAGACUACGUCUUACAAUGCACCAGAGACUGGAUUUCUUUUGAUCAAGUACAACAGUCUUCUUAAUAAAUGUCACCAACAUUUACUUACUUCUUAACUACUGUAUUUUAAUUCAGAUGCAUUUUUUAACAUAAUAAAGAAUAAAAAUACAAAAUAAAAAUCA